This 85-nucleotide unclassified non-coding RNA is filed under the name Pseudomonas brassicacearum. Lineage: Bacteria; Pseudomonadati; Pseudomonadota; Gammaproteobacteria; Pseudomonadales; Pseudomonadaceae. The record is from RNAcentral.
GUGGGAGCAAAGCUUGCUCGCGGUGCAGGCGCCUCGGUUCCAGAGAUACCGCGUUGUUUUUAUCGCGGGCAAGCCUUGCUCCCAC